UGGGGAAUAUUGCACAAUGGGCGAAAGCCUGAUGCAGCGACGCCGCGUGAGGGAUGACGGCCUUCGGGUUGUAAACCUCUUUCAGCAGGGACGAAGCGCAAGUGACGGUACCUGCAGAAGAAGCACCGGCUAACUACGUGCCAGCAGCCGCGGUAAUACGUAGGGUGCAAGCGUUGUCCGGAAUUACUGGGCGUAAAGAGUUUGUAGGCGGUUUGUCGCGUCGUUUGUGAAAACCAGCAGCUCAACUGCUGGCUUGCAGGCGAUACGGGCAGACUUGAGUACUGCAGGGGAGACUGGAAUUCCUGGUGUAGCGGUGAAAUGCGCAGAUAUCAGGAGGAACACCGGUGGCGAAGGCGGGUCUCUGGGCAGUAACUGACGCUGAGGAACGAAAGCGUGGGUAGCGAACAGG
Molecule: ribosomal RNA, 409 nt
Filed under: bacterium
Lineage: Bacteria
Description: partial 16S ribosomal RNA
Rfam family: Bacterial small subunit ribosomal RNA
Source: RNAcentral